Pleuronectes platessa (European plaice) is the source of this 1593-nucleotide long non-coding RNA. RefSeq lists it as uncharacterized. NCBI's taxonomy places the organism in Eukaryota, Metazoa, Chordata, Actinopteri, Pleuronectiformes, Pleuronectidae. The record is from RefSeq and is a predicted model, not a curated record. The transcript is spliced from 3 exons.
UUUUAACUCCCUCGUUUAAGCGAUAUAGAUGUUUGAAAUUCACGUGACGUCACAGUGUAAGCUGUGCUGUGUGUUGUGAGUUCGGCUUUCACCAGUUACACGUGAACGCCUCAUGAAAUGGCUUACACCCACAUACCCGGUAAAUUACACACUUUGAUGUUCUGCUCCUUCUCCUGACGGUCACGGUAACGAUGUCUGCGCCUCCGUUUCUGUGGAUGUCCAGCGUGAGACACAACUUGAAUCCAACCAGACUGAACACUGACUCCAGGGACGGACGAGCCUGAAGGACACAGCUGUGAUGACCAAUUGACCAUGUUUUGUCUCUUAUGGCAAAGCAGAAAUAUUAAACACUGGGUUCUUAUCUAAAGUGUAUCAAAUCAGAAAGCAAAAGAUACACAUUGUUGUUAUAAGUUUUUAUUAUUUUAACCAACCAUAAUGAAGAUAGAAAUGAAUUCUUAUCCAUGCCACUUAGCAAUGACUGCCACCACCAACAGUUGCAGGCCAUCUUUAUUUAAGGGAGGAAUUUAGAAGUGUUGUGUAGCUUCUGAUGAUGAUGCAGUCGUCCACGUGUUGACCACCAUGUUGCUGCUGACGACGUCAGGUGCUGCAGUUCCUCAUCUAUGAAGAGAAGAAACGCACUGUUAAAGAAUGUUUUGAGUUGUGUAUGAAGCACAACAGAUUUCAGAUAGAACCGUUGUACUGUGGUCUGGGUUUGUAUCCUAAUGGUUAAAUGCACAUAUUUUAAGUCGCUUUUGAUAAAAGUACUGAAAGAAAUACAACAUUGUAAAAAUAGAUAAAAUGUCUUUCUACCUCAUCUGUAAUAUUCAAGGUGAUAAUCUCCCACAGAGCUAUUGAUAACAGUCCACAUCAAGUCUCUCCACUUCCCUCAGUGUGAAAACAUAAUUAUACAAUUAAUUUGAGAACUGUUUACAACACUGAUGUGUGGAGAUUAAAAUCAUAUCUAAACUGUCUAAUUCACUGUAAAACUCCAUGACAUUCGCAGGCCAUCUGUAGUUAAGGGAGCAACGUAUGGAGUGAUGUGUAGAGGGCAGAAACUUGGACUAUGGGCAGAGAAGGUCUCUGGUUCGUCUCCGGUUCGACUCCACGGAGAGACAACAAAAGACAAACCUGGAUUGAUCUGUCCAAAAAUCCAAGAGUCUCCCUACCCUCUCUAGUGCCCCUGAGCAAGGCACCUCACUCCCCCAACAUCUGCUCCGUGAGCGCCGUACAUGGUCGCUCACUGCUCUGUGUGUCCUGCACCAGAUGGGUAAAAAGCAGAGAUUAAAUUUCCCUACCUGCAUGAGUGUGCCUUUGCAUGUCUGUGCAUGUGUUUGGGACGAAUAAAUGGGUCUUAAUCUUAAUCUUUUAAUCUUAAUCAGUUGUCUUCCAGUUGACCAGCAUGAAGCUGCAAAUCUCCACCAUGUUGCUGCUGAGGACAUCAGGAGCUGCAUUAAUGAGGAGCAGAAGCGCACUGUUAUGAAUGUUUUGUGUUGUGUAUGAAGCACCACAUAUUUCAGAUAGAACCGAUGUACUGGGGUCUGGGUUUGUAUACUAAUGGUUAAAUGCACAUACUUUAAAUCGCUUUUGAUAAAA